RNAcentral lists this ribosomal RNA (1042 nucleotides) under bacterium X13. RNAcentral describes it as "bacterial SSU rRNA". It matches the Rfam family "Bacterial small subunit ribosomal RNA", at positions 51 to 1071 of the family's 1533-position model. The record is from RNAcentral.
ACACAUGCAAAGUCGAGCGGCAGCGACAACAUUGACCCUUCGGGGGAUUUGUUGGGCGGCGAGCGGCGGACGGGUGAGUAAUGCCUGGGAACAUGCCUUAGUGUGGGGGAUAACCAUUGGAAACGAUGGCUAAUACCGCAUAAUCUCUUCGGAGCAAAGAGGGGGACCUUCGGGCCUCUCGCGCUAAGAUUGGCCCAGGUGGGAUUAGCUAGUAGGUGGGGUAACGGCUCACCUAGGCGACGAUCCCUAGCUGGUCUGAGAGGAUGAUCAGCCACACUGGAACUGAGACACGGUCCAGACUCCUACGGGAGGCAGCAGUGGGGAAUAUUGCACAAUGGGGGAAACCCUGAUGCAGCCAUGCCGCGUGUGUGAAGAAGGCCUUCGGGUUGUAAAGCACUUUCAGCAGUGAGGAAGGCGGUAUCGUUAAUAGCGGUAUCGUUUGACGUUAGCUGCAGAAGAAGCACCGGCUAACUCCGUGCCAGCAGCCGCGGUAAUACGGAGGGUGCGAGCGUUAAUCGGAAUUACUGGGCGUAAAGCGCAUGCAGGCGGCUUGUUAAGCCAGAUGUGAAAGCCCGGGGCUCAACCUCGGAAUCGCAUUUGGAACUGGCAGGCUAGAGUCUUGUAGAGGGGGGUAGAAUUUCAGGUGUAGCGGUGAAAUGCGUAGAGAUCUGAAGGAAUACCGGUGGCGAAGGCGGCUCCUCUGGACAAAGACUGACGCUCAGAUGCGAAAGCGUGGGGAGCAAACAGGAUUAGAUACCCUGGUAGUCCACGCCGUAAACGAUGUCUACUUGGAGGUUGGUGUCUUGAACACUGGCUUUCGGAGCUAACGCGUUAAGUAGACCGCCUGGGGAGUACGGGUCGCAAGAUUAAAACUCAAAUGAAUUGACGGGGGCUCGCACAAGCGGUGGAGCAUGUGUUUAAUUUCGAUGCAACGCGAGAACCUUACCUACUCUUGACAUCACGGAAUCUUGCAGAGAUGCUGGGAGUGCUUUCGGGAACUGUGAGAACAGUGCUGCAUGCUGUCGUCAGCUCGUGUUGUGAA